Molecule: ribosomal RNA, 720 nt
Filed under: Hylemonella gracilis
Lineage: Bacteria; Pseudomonadati; Pseudomonadota; Betaproteobacteria; Burkholderiales; Comamonadaceae
Description: bacterial SSU rRNA
Rfam family: Bacterial small subunit ribosomal RNA
Source: RNAcentral
CUGGCGGCAUGCCUUACACAUGCAAGUCCAACGGUAACAGGUUAAGCUGACGAGUGGCGAACGGGUGAGUAAUACAUCGGAACGUGCCCAGACGUGGGGGAUAGCUCGGCGAAAGCCGGAUUAAUACCGCAUAAGCUCUGAGGAGGAAAGCGGGGGACCGUAAGGCCUCGCGCGUUUGGAGCGGCCGAUGGCAGAUUAGGUAGUUGGUGGGGUAAAGGCUUACCAAGCCUACGAUCUGUAGCUGGUCUGAGAGGACGACCAGCCACACUGGGACUGAGACACGGCCCAGACUCCUACGGGAGGCAGCAGUGGGGAAUUUUGGACAAUGGGCGAAAGCCUGAUCCAGCAAUGCCGCGUGCAGGAUGAAGGCCUUCGGGUUGUAAACUGCUUUUGUACGGAACGAAAAGGCGCCUACUAAUACUGGGUGUUGAUGACGGUACCGUAAGAAUAAGCACCGGCUAACUACGUGCCAGCAGCCGCGGUAAUACGUAGGGUGCGAGCGUUAAUCGGAAUUACUGGGCGUAAAGCGUGCGCAGGCGGUGUUGUAAGACAGUUGUGAAAUCCCCGGGCUUAACCUGGGAACUGCAUCUGUGACUGCAAUGCUGGAGUGCGGCAGAGGGGGAUGGAAUUCCGCGUGUAGCAGUGAAAUGCGUAGAUAUGCGGAGGAACACCGAUGGCGAAGGCAAUCCCCUGGGCCUGCACUGACGCUCAUGCACGAAA